UUUAUCCGCUACAGCCUGACUACGGAGAUGUCUGCUUGUUUACAUUUGUAAAUGCCUCUUUAGGGUGCAGCCAAUGAGAAUGUGGGGUGGUGCUUGCUGGGAAGGUGAGCCCGUCCUGUUCUCUGCUUGUUGUCCUGCCGCAAGGUCCUCUUCACGUGCGAUCUUCAGGAUCUGUACCUGGAUGCAGGUGAGAUUCUUGAAGCUCGCCAGAACUGCUUCCCAGAGCAAGUGAUUAUCAAGUUGCUAGAUACCCUUCAAAACCAACUGCUCACUCCACAGCUUCUUUGAUAUUCUCAGAAGUCUUGAAAACAAAAGAUACAUAUAUUCAGCUUAUGACAAGAUGAGGCUAAAAACUGUCCUCCCAAAGCCUCAACAGCUGAAGGAAAACAAAAGAAACUGAUUUCUUCUACAAAUUCUUGGAGUUAAUGACUGAGCAUUACAAGCCAGGCAAAUUUGUUUUCUGCAUAAAGGAGUUACGAACUUUGGCAACAUCACUAGAUGCUGGGAACAAAGUAAUAAGGAAAGACCAUCAUCGUCAUACCUUGCUUGUGAGCUUCCAGGAGGCCCUGACUGACUACUUUUGGGAAUAGAGUGUCAUGAUAGAUAAACCUGGGGCUCACCCACCAGGCAAUUCUUCAGGCAAUUCUUAUGCUCUUCACCAAGAAACUGGGGAAGCGGCUGUGUGAAAAAUUCCCCCUGCCACAUGUGGAUAGAUGAAGUGGCAUGCAUGUCAUGGUUUCCAUAGGCAUUUGGUGGGCCACUGUGAGAGCAGGAUGCUAGACUACGUGAGUCUUUAUUCUGAUCCAGCAAGGCUCUUCUUCUAUUCUUCUGGAGCCACUCCAAGUAGAAAUGUUGUCCCAUGUGCGUACUGUUGAGUUGGUGAGCAUAGGACACAUUCUUUCUCAAGUACACUAGGUCAGCUAUUCUUCUAACAAUUAUGAUUUUGGUGAGGUACUGGGGAAGAGGAGCCCACUCAUCUCCUCCAUGAGUAUGUUCACAGCAGCUUUCACAGACAGCAGCAUUUCAGCCCAAGUGGAAAGGCAGCUCCUCACUCAGAGUCGGUACUCACAUCAUCUCAACUCUCUCCAGAAAAACCCUCAAUUAUCUUCACCAGUCCUUCCCCACCUCACCCAAAGGAAGGCUGCCAGGCUUACCCCUCUCCUAUUGCUAUGCAACAACGCACAACCAUUUUAAUAAAAAUCCAGCUCCUGAGGACUUUAUAUAGAUUUCUAGUAAUGUUGGAUUUCAUCCAGUCAUUCAUAAAGGGGAAAGGGGAAUUACACUGAACCAAAUGCAAUUUUUGCAGCCUGAUUAUUUUGCACAAACCCUUGGACAUUUAAUUUAGAAAUAAAUCAACAGGACUUAUUUCCAAGCAAUUAUGCAGGUUAGGAGUUUACCCUCCUGUGAUAUGCAACACCCCCAUCCUAUGCAUAUUUAUUUAGAAUUAAAUUCCACUCAUUUCAAUGGGAUUUGCUUUUAAGUAAAUGAGCAUAGGACUGCAGCCUAACAGUGUGAUCCUAUACUUAAAAGUCCCAUAUUAUUCAAUAGAUUUUCUCCCAAGUUAGUGUGUGCAGGAUUACAGCCUCAGUCCCUGUUGCUAUCCACACUUUCUUGGGAGCAAGCCUCAUUGGACUUAUUUCUUCUAAGUAAAUGUGCAUAGAAUUGGCCUGCAUGGCUUGUAAGAUUCAUCCACACUGAAUGUAUGUUGUCAAGUGAUUGCAGCUCUGACACUAUGAGGGUAGCCUUCCUAAGGAAGCAGCUGUAGCUGCUAAGUUCCUUCCUGAUCCCCACUUCAAUGGGGAUUACUUCUGGGUAGACCUGGUUAGGAUUGCAGCUUGUAAAAGGAAACAGGAGUUUUCCUAGCAUUCAGUUUACUCCUUUUUAUCAUUGCCAGGACCAGGCCCAACUUGAAAUAUCUUCCUUUUGUCUUUGUUACACGUGAGAAGAACCACAACUGAAUAGCACCUGCUUAAUGGUACUUUCAACAAAGAAAAGGUGGGAAAGAUACAUGUUCAUCCCCUCAAACUUUUAUUGAUACCAUUUUUUGAGAGUUGUAUUUGGGGGGGGGGGAGGACGAGCAGCCAGCUGCCUAAAGGAUCAGACUUGUUAUCUUCAGGGAAGGGGAUGCUUUCUGAUCUGCCAGAGGGCAGAAAUAUCUUGGUGUUUUUUAUUAUUGUGGAGGAGGUGGAUACUGUCGCUGAAAAAUCCUUUGCGGGUGUCUGGAGACUGUGGGUGUGAUAACCUGUUAAUAAAGAAAGAAUUAUGUUAAACUUAUAAACCUUGCUCCUCAAAAAUCAUGCAAUCAAAAAGGACAUGGAAAUUCAACAAACAUUUGCAGAUAUAACAAUUUGGAUCUAUCCCUCCAAUUUCUCUGACUUUUUGUAUUGACGCGGCCUGGGCACUCAGAGAGACGAACAAGGCAGACUCAGCAGCAGGUUUACUUAAAAGGAAAGUGUUUAUUGGAUAACUUUUGACCCACAGGUGUACGCAAUAGGGUGGAACAGGCUGUCUGGCUCUGCACGAACAUGGACCAGUCUGAACACUGAACUGGGCAACCAGGAACCCUUUUAUAGGAUACAUAUUUACAGCACAGUAAUGAGCAACUAAUUACUACAAAGGAUUAAGUCACGGCUUUCCCGGGCAUAGCCCUCCAGUGAUGGAGGCUCCUUCCUAGGGCCAUACAGCAUAACAAUAGCUGAUAAGCACAGCCUCUAGCUUCCUGGCAGGGAGUUAAUUGCUCCAAGGUCUACACUAUCUGGUUAACAAGGCACCUUCCCAGCAUCACACAGCACUCUUGGCAGAGCAUCAGACUGGAAUGUCUGUUAGCAACCUCAGAUUAGGCCCCAGGUGGCUCUGAGCUCACAUUGGCCGUCCUUGACCCAUCUCCCUGCUUGCUUAGGUGCUGAAUGCUAAACCCUAAAGAGAACUAAGGUGGGGGGGAAUACAAGCCCCCCAUGCCUACACACAGCUAUUCUGCUGGUGAAGAUGCUGAGCCUUUGCCCACCGGCCACUACACUUUUAUGGACACAGAUUUUGAGAUGAUUAACAGAAUUUUAGGCACAUGUCUCAAAUAUUCUUAACUCUGCAGUAGAAAUGAUUAAGGUGCCAACCUUGAACCCUGUCUCACACUCAAACCAAUGUAAUAAGGCACCUGCAUCAUUCUUGCUUCAUGAACAUUGACCAAGGAUUCCUUGGUACAAAGUAUACAAAGUGGUACUUGUCUGUGAAGCCAGCCAAAAAAACUACAAUGGAGAAAAUUAUGAUAGGUAUCAUGGUUCUUAUCCAAGUGGAGCCUACAUGUACCGGCAGUAUACUUCCAGGGACAAACAGCAGAGAUAAGUCAUUAUUACCAACAUGCCCUGACAGUUGGCUACUAUUUGAAACAGAACAUUGGACUACAGCAGCCUUCCCCAACCUGGCGCCCUCCAGAUGUUGUUGGACUACACCACCCAUCAUCACUGGCUGUUAGCCACGCUGUCUGGGGCUGAUGGGAGUUAAUAGUUGAAAACAUCUGGUGGGCACUAGGUUGUCUCCAUGUUACAGAGGCCUCAAUGGCCUCAACCAGAAGUUGGGCAUUUAGUAUCAUUGGUUCCCAUAUUGGAAUUGCUUUUUAAUGUGUUUUUAAACCUUUUUUAAAAAAAUGUUUUCAAAGAUUUUUUUUUAAUAUAUUUUAAAGUGUGUUUUUAUGAUGUUUUAUAAUGUUUUUAGUGCUUUUGUUUGCAGCCCGGGGCUCCUGCUGGGAGGAAGGGUGGGAUAUAAAUAAAUAAAUAAGUGUCCACAGUAUAUAGGCUGCGCCAUGAUACCAUGCUGAUGUAUUGUGAGAGGGUGGUAUGUAAACACCUUCAUAUAUAAAAUAAUAAAUAAAGUCUG
Molecule: long non-coding RNA, 3870 nt
Organism: Rhineura floridana
Lineage: Eukaryota; Metazoa; Chordata; Lepidosauria; Squamata; Rhineuridae
Exons: 4
Source: RefSeq, a predicted model, not a curated record